Molecule: small RNA, 125 nt
Filed under: Marmota monax (woodchuck)
Lineage: Eukaryota; Metazoa; Chordata; Mammalia; Rodentia; Sciuridae
Source: RNAcentral
GCCGGGCACAGUGGCGCACGCCUGUAAUCCCAGUGACUCAGGAGGCUGAGGCAGGAGGAUCUCAAGCUUGAGGCCAGCCUCAGCAACUAAAAGGUCCUGAGCAACUGAGGGAGACCCUGUCUCAA